Molecule: ribosomal RNA, 463 nt
Filed under: uncultured bacterium
Lineage: Bacteria
Description: partial 16S ribosomal RNA
Rfam family: Bacterial small subunit ribosomal RNA
Source: RNAcentral
AGUGAACGCUGGCGGCGUGCCUAAUACAUGCAAGUCGAACGAUGAAGUCCUAGCUUGCUAGGAUGGAUUAGUGGCGCACGGGUGAGUAAUAUAUAGUUAAUCUGCCCUACACAGAGGAACAACAGUUGGAAACGGCUGCUAAUACCUCAUACUCCUAUUUGACAUAAGUUAAAUAGGAAAAGUCUUUUCGGUGUAGGAUGAGACUAUAUCGUAUCAGCUAGUUGGUAAGGUAAUGGCUUACCAAGGCUAUGACGCGUAACUGGUCUGAGAGGAUGAUCAGUCACAUUGGAACUGAGACACGGUCCAAACUCCUACGGGAGGCAGCAGUAAGGAAUAUUGCGCAAUGGGGGAAACCCUGACGCAGCAACGCCGCGUGGAGGAUGACACUUUUCGGAGCGUAAACUCCUUUUAUCAGGAAAGAAUAAUGACGGUACCUGAUGAAUAAGCACCGGCUAACUCCGUG